AGCUGAGUGGCGCAGCGGAAGCGCGCCGGGCUCAUAACCCGGAGGGCAAUGGAUCGUAAGUUGGAUGCCAAAAACGUCAAAUUCUCACCCC
Molecule: transfer RNA, 91 nt
Filed under: Friedmanniomyces endolithicus
Lineage: Eukaryota; Fungi; Ascomycota; Dothideomycetes; Mycosphaerellales; Teratosphaeriaceae
Description: tRNA-iMet
Source: RNAcentral